Oncorhynchus tshawytscha (Chinook salmon) is the source of this 362-nucleotide long non-coding RNA. Lineage: Eukaryota; Metazoa; Chordata; Actinopteri; Salmoniformes; Salmonidae. The record is from Ensembl.
UGUGUGAGAGAGAGAGAGAUGUAUCUCCCUGUGUAUGUGAGAGAGAGAGAGAUGCAUCUCCCUGUGUAUGUGAGAGAGAGAUAGAUGCAUCUCCCUGUGUAUGUGAAAGUGAGAUAGAUUUAUCUCCCUGUGUAUGUGAAAGAGAGAGAGAUUUAUCUCCCUGUGUAUGUGAAAGAGAGAGAUUUUUCUCCCUGUGUAUGUGAAAGAGAGAUUUAUCUCCCUGUGUAUGAGAGAGAUUUAUCUCCCUGUGUAUGUGAAAGAGAGAGAUUUAUCUCCCUGUGUAUGUGAAAGAGAGAGAUUUAUCUCCCUGUGUAUGUGAGAUUUAUCUCCCUGUGUAUGUGAGAGAGAAAUGUAUCUCCCUG